RNAcentral lists this microRNA precursor (60 nucleotides) under Danio rerio (zebrafish). RNAcentral's name for it is "Dre-Mir-181-P1a2_pre stem-loop". It matches the Rfam family "mir-181 microRNA precursor family", at positions 12 to 73 of the family's 83-position model. Rfam says of the family: In this case the mature sequence comes from the 5' arm of the precursor. The extents of the hairpin precursors are not generally known and are estimated based on hairpin prediction. The products are thought to have regulatory roles through complementarity to mRNA. RNAcentral also lists the same sequence under 1 other name. Lineage: Eukaryota; Metazoa; Chordata; Actinopteri; Cypriniformes; Danionidae. The record is from RNAcentral.
AACAUUCAACGCUGUCGGUGAGUUUGGAUGCAUAAUAAACCAUCGACCGUUGGCUGUGCC